RNAcentral lists this long non-coding RNA (35220 nucleotides) under Brassica rapa (field mustard). RNAcentral's name for it is "long non-coding RNA (BRAP_LNC005451)". The record is from RNAcentral. Lineage: Eukaryota; Viridiplantae; Streptophyta; Magnoliopsida; Brassicales; Brassicaceae.
UACCAGAUUACCCAUUUGCGAAUGACGGUCUAAUGCUGUGGGAUGCACUUAAGGAAUGGGUAACAGACUAUGUGAAGCACUAUUAUCCAGAUGCGGAACAGGUCAGGUCGGAUGAGGAACUCAAAGAAUGGUGGAAUGAAGUGAAGAACAUAGGGCAUGGAGACAAGAAAAAUGAACCAUGGUGGCCUGAUCUCAAAACCCAAGAUGACUUGAUUGGCGUGGUGACUACGAUUGCAUGGGUGGCUUCAGGUCACCAUGCAGCUGUAAACUUUGGACAGUAUGGGUAUGGUGGAUACUUUCCCAACCGACCAACCACAGCAAGAACCAAAAUGCCAGUGGAAGAGCCGACAGAGGAAGUGCUAAAAGAGUUCUAUGACGAGCCAGAGAAGACCAUGCUUAAGACAUUCCCGUCGAAGAAGCAGGCGACCAAAGUGAUGUUGACUUUGGAUCUUCUAUCUGCACAUUCACCAGAUGAAGAGUACCUAGGAGAAAACCCAGAAGCAUCUUGGGCCCACGAACCUAUCAUCUAUGCUGCAUAUGAACGAUUCAAAGGCAAGCUCCAAUACCUAGAAGGAGUGAUAGAUGAGAGGAACGUGAAUGUUUCUCUAAAGAAUCGAACUGGAGCAGGUGUUGUUAAGUACGAGCUUUUAAAGCCUAUCUCUGAACCAGGCGUUACUGGGAUGGGUGUUCCCUACAGUGUGUCUAUUUGAUCUAACGCAUUUUGAUCAAAUGCAUUGGAAGUUCAUCUAUGUUUCUUCCAAAUUAUCAUCUAUGUUUCUUGCUUUCUUAAUAAAUAAUGAAUCUCAACCUUCUCAAGGGUACCUUGUUUUAUGUUUAUUGGACCAAAUAUUGUUGGACGUAGGGAAACGAGUACACCAAGUUGGCCUGACCUAUUGAAGAUUGUAUUCAAGUCUAGUAACGUAAGGCCUAUUAAAACAACCUGAAAACUUUUAGAAAAUUGUUGAAUUUUUUUUUAAAAAAAGGAAUCAAUUUUCAAACAAACAUAAAGAAAUACAGAAACUUUAUUAAUGAAACUAUGUGUUUUGCAUGCACAUGCAUAUUACAUAAUUCUUUUAUAGAUAAUUAUUAAUAGAUGUAGGGAAAUUGCCACAAAUACCACAUUAUUUUUCAUGUUUAUACUAAUUAUUUUUACAAUCACUUUUAAUGAAAAGUAAAAGAUACUUAUACCUUUCAUAUAAACGUAGGGUUAACUAAUUUAGACUUAUGGUUUAUAGUUGAAUGGUGGAGUAGGAUUUUUGGAAUGUAAAAUUUAUGAUUCUAAUAAAUAUAUAAAUAAAUACUUAAAAAAUAUAAAUUUGUUUUUAAAAAAUAGUUUCAAACAAAAUUUUUGAUUUUUAAAAAGAAAUUUUGAAAAAAUAUAUAAACAAAUUCCAAAAAUAAAAAUUCAAAAAAUAAAAAUUUAUAAAAAAAGUUCGAACUUGAAAAAAUAUAAUUCGAAAACAUUAAUUUUUUUUAUUUUUUAUUUUUUAUCUUUUUUAUUUUCUUUAUCUAAAUAAUGAUUUAUUAUAUAAAUAGAUAACAAGUGUAUAAGAGUCUUUUGUCACUUAAUGAAGAAGAUAUUUUUGAAAAUGUCCCUUUAGUGGUGGUAAAGAUGAAAAGUACCAUGAAAGUGGUAAACAUAAAAUUUCUCCAUAAAUAUGCUAUAAGUUUAAAGAUCAAAAUAUUAAAAUAAAACAUUAAAUUUAUAAAAUUUUGUGAAUGUUUUGUGAAUCUUUCAAUUUUAAAAUAAUAAAUGUACUAUUUUGUGAAUCUUUCAAUUUUAUAAAUUUAAAUUUUAUUAAUUUAAAAACAUUAGUUUUGGAUAACAACAUUAAUAUUUUAUUUUAAAAUAUGUUAUUAUCUUUAACCAGUGUUUAUUAUAUUAUAUUAUACAUAAUGCUCUAAUUAAAUAGACAUAUAUAUAUAUAUAUAUAUAUAACUGUUAAUAUAAAGUGAUGUUAUUAAACCAAAUUCUUGGAAUUAUUAAAACCUACAAAAUUUCAAAAUAAGUUAAAAGCACAAGAAUGUUAAACCGAACCCAAAUUUACAUAUUAUUUUAAUCAAAUAUUAUAUUAAUAAAAGUAAAUAAAAUUAUUGAUAUAUGUAUAAUUAUACAGAAAAUACCUCUUAUAAUAACUGAAUAAACAUUCAAACAUACCAACCAUUGCCAAACAAAACUUUAAUAAGUAAUGUAUAAAACAAGAACAUUUCCUAUUUAUUGUUAUUUUCAUUUCUAAAUAGUAUAAUAGAGAAAAAUAAGCUACAGUCAAUCUAUAUUUUUUACUUUAAAAUAGAUAUUUCUAUUUUCUUUAUUAUAAAAUCAUAAUUGUUAUUUUCAAAUGGUCUUUUAACUUUAAAAGUUAUAACUAAGACAUACCAUUUUGGAAAAUACAGUUUUGAUAAUAUUAAAUCACAAUUUUCUUUACUUUAUAGUCUUUUAAAGAAUUUUAAUCUAAAUAAAGUUAUAAUUCUCUAAAACUCUUGAAAAAAUUAAAAGUAAAUAGAGUUAAUUUAAAACUUUUAUAAAUAAAAGAUGCUUGUUGUAAACAAAAAUAAUAUUUUGAAAAUAUUCUCUUUUAGAAGCAGAUAUUUUGAACUUAGAUAACAAAUAAAUGUUAUUAUUGCAGCUGAAUAAUAAGAAUAAAAAUGAAAAUACCAAAAACUUAUUUUAACAAACAAAUACGAAUCAAAUUUAUUAUUAUUGGUUACAUACCUAUUUUAAUAUUAAAAUAAUCUGAACCCAAAUGGAUAUUCGAAAAAAAUCUAAAAAUUAAAAUUCCAGAAAAAAUACUCUUACUAAAUCCAAACUUAAUCCCAAAUAAGUACCCAAAAUAAUCGAUAUUUAAUUGAAUACCUAAAAUAAGUAGCUAUUACAUGAAUAAUGAAUUCAAAUAUUUAGUUUAACAUAUUUUGGUAUUUGCUGCUCUUCUUUCUUCUGUAUAGUUGCGUUUACCGGGUUAGGUGUGUUUGUUCUUAGGGUUUAUCGAAUAUAAUGUGUUUAAACAUAGUUUUUGAGAUUUGUUCUCUAUUUCAUUGUCUUUAUUCUCUAAUUGAUCUUGUCUAAAAUUACAUUAGAACCAUAAGGAAUUUGUACCAAGUUCAUUUCACAAUUUUCAUUUCAAUUUUUUAUUUUUGGUUUUUGUUUCACUAGAUCUCUAUUUGAUUUGUGUGUACAAAUUUUGGAACUGAAAAACCAAUUAAGAUCUAAAACCUAAAAUUAUAUUGGGUUCUACCGGUUUAUAGAAAUGUUACUAAACCCAAAUCAAUCCGAACCGAAUCCUAACCUGACUAAACCCGAAAAGAAUCCGAACUGAACUUUUAUAAUAUAGAAAUGGGGAUGAAAGUCAUAAACUGAAAUUUCAUUGAAUCCAAACCAAAAUCCAAAAUUAUAUUGGGUUCUACCGGUUUUUUGAAAAUGAUACUAUACCCAAAUCCGAAUCCGACUACACUCAAACUGAAUCUUAAGCUUACUAAACCGGAAAAUUGAAAAUUUUAAUAACUGAUUGAUUCUGAUCCAAACCCCGAUUGGUCCAUGAAGGCCAGGUGUAUAUUUCUUUUAUAAUAUCAAAGUUAAAAAAAUUAGUAGUAAGUUUUUAACAGUCAAAUAAUUCAUGUUAAAUUAAUUUUAAUUCGCUUUAAUUUAUUUAAGAUUAAAAAGAUUUAAUAAUGUUUUUCUUUACAUUUCAUCGUAUAAUUAAAAUAAUUACAAAAUAAAAAAAUAUAGAUAACUUAAUAUAUUUAACUUGAGAGAAAUUUUUUAAAACUAUAUUAUUUGUAUGAUUAUAUAGGAUCGGAAUGAUGUUGUUUUCGUGAUUGCAUAUUUUCAUCAAACAUAUAAGAUAUAAUGAGAUUAUAAAAUACAAUAUUUUUAAUAUUUUUAAUUAUAAUUUAAUUUAUCAAAUAAGUAUUUUAUCAAAAAAGUUGACAGCAACCGACCAACCGAAAUAUCAAAAAAGAAUAUAUAUAACUCAGCAAAAAAUAAAUAAGAAAAUGGGUUAAGAAUUCUAUCAUUUGUAUGAUUAUAUGAUGGGUUGGGUUACUGUUGUUGUUUAAGAGAUAUACAGAUAUGUUUCCAUCAAACAUGUAACAAAUUAAAUAUUUAUUAUUAAAAAAAUAUAUAUAUUUUUGUUGGCAGCGUAUUUUUAUUUAAAAAAUCAAAAUUAAAUAGGUUCAUCUCAAAACUAGCAUUUUUCUAAAUUUGAAAAUGUCCAAACACACAAUCAAUAAGUCUACGCUAUAGUCCCAGAUGGACCCAUAUCAAACACAAUCAAUAAGUUUAUGUCAUAUCAAACUACACUAUUAAGUUUUAUUUCAUGUAACUCCUCUGUUUAUGACAUAAACUUCUGGCCAUUACCGGCAAGUGCGUCCUCAUAAAUUCGACAGAGAUACGUACGAUGCCAUUCAUCAAUUUUUAGUUAUAAGUUUGUUAACAACAACAAAAACGUGCUGGGAAGCACUUCUCUAGAAAACAACAAAACAAUAACAAACAUCUAUACUAUUAUUUGCGAAGUAAAUUUUCGCAACGGAGCUCCCACGUUAAAAGUUAGAGUGGUUAAUAUCGAUUAUACCCUUAAUGAAUUAAAUAUAUAAAUUAGUAACAAAUAAAAACGAAAUUUUAAUUAAUUUGAUUAGAUAAUUGAUUAAUAUUAAGAAUAGUAACAAUUAUCCAAAAUCUGAAAAUAUAAUUAAAAAGAAGAUAAUUUCUGUAUAUAUUGUAUUGUUAUCUGUAAAAGUAUUUUAGUAAAACUUAAAAAUAUAAAUUAUAUAAUUAAAUAUUAAUCUAUACUAUUAUUUGCGAAGUAAAUUUUCGCAACGGAGCUCCCACGUUAAAAGUUAGAGUGGUUAAUAUCGAUUAUACCCUUAAUGAAUUAAAUAUAUAAAUUAGUAACAAAUAAAAACGAAAUUUUAAUUAAUUUGAUUAGAUAAUUGAUUAAUAUUAAGAAUAGUAACAAUUAUCCAAAAUCUGAAAAUAUAAUUAAAAAGAAGAUAAUUUCUGUAUAUAUUGUAUUGUUAUCUGUAAAAGUAUUUUAGUAAAACUUAAAAAUAUAAAUUAUAUAAUUAAAUAUUAAUCAAAUAAAAAUUUUAAUUAUAUAAUUAAAAUAUAAUAUUGAGUUAUUUUAAUAAUGAAUAUAGUGUACAAAGAACUUUUCAAAAAUUUAUGAAAAUGUUUAAGCCCGCAUCGCGGGCAAAACACCUAGUUCUAAUAAUUCAACUAAGAAAUAAUGUAGUAAAUUCUUUAAGCAACAACAAAAACAUGCAGUGGAGCACUUCUCUAGAAAACAACAAAAUACGAACACUCUAAUUCAACUAAGAAAUAGUUCUUUCCUGAUUUCUAUUGUAUGGUGUAAUAUGUUGAAAAACUAUUAAAAUUUUGAUUUAGCUAAUUAUCUUAGCAAAGGAAGAUUUACCAAAGGAGAUGGAUACUUAGAAGCAUGAUUUCAAAAUCGAUUGACUCAAAGAAGCUACCGAUCGAUAAAUCUAAAUUCAUCUGAUCGUCCGAUCUGGAGUGCAACGUGGAAAUCGUCGAGAGGAUUGAAUCGGUUGAUCCGAGAACCAUAAGUGAUCGACUCAACGUCUGAUCAAUUGAUCCCCUUCUUAGAAUUGAUUGAUCCUAUAACAAACUUGACCUAGUUUCAUUUUGGUCAACUGGUACUAGUUUUAAAAGUCUAAAUAUGUUUUCGGAAAAACCCCCAAAAUAACUCUUUUUCUCUGAAAAAUAUUUACCUUUUUGGUGAAAAUUUGGAUCUUUAUCUUCUUUUAAGCAUUUUCUUCUUCUAAACUUUUGUUUAUAUUGAUUAUUUUCCUUUAUAUAAUUGUUACCCUUGAAUUUAACAUGAGCUAAAGGGUUUUCGUGGAAAUGUCUAACCUUAUUGAAUUGUGGUGAUUAUAGAGUAGUCUCCUCUUAGACUCAUGGGUAAGGUUUAUUAUGAUUAUUGAUGUAUGAAUUGUGAUGCUUAGGGCUAGAUUAACAUUGUUUCGUACAUAUAAUGUGUUUUAAUGCUAAAUUAGAAUUAGUUACUUUUUAAGGUGAUGUCAUGGUUGAGAAGUGUUCAAUGAAAUGCUUGAAUGAAUUUCAUAUUGUGUUUUCCUUGCUUAGCCAACGAGAGUUGAUGUUUUGCAUACUAGAGAUGUAUUAUUACUAUUAGGAAUUGUUUCCAAUGCAUGAUUGAGUGUAGUUAGCCAACAUGAUUUGAUGUUAAAUGCAUGAUUAACAUAGGAGUUACUGUCACUGUAGUGGAUUAGUUUAUUUUAAAGAUCCUAGGUUGAAGAAAUAUGUUAAUUGAUUGUGUUUAGCAUUCAAAGUUUGAAAUCUAUUAUCCUUAAUUGGUUACCCAACUCCAUCAGUUUAACCUUUCAAACCUUGAUAAAAACUUGUUAUUUGCUGAAUUUCUUAAUUGAGAUCAUUGCCUUACACUUUUAAUCAUUUGUAUUUUAAACCAAACUUAAUUACUUAGCUUAAAGGACCAUCUGCAUUCUCUUUGCUUUAAGCCAUGGGUUGGAUUAACAUCUCUUACUACGUAUUAUGAUACAUUUGUGCUUACGACUGAGUAGUAUAAAGAACUUAAACUUAUUGGACACCAUUGAGAAGGCAAAAGAAGACAUUAGGAUCAUGGCUCUCUCUUAGUCCUCGUUUCUUAACUGUUACAGAUCACAGAUGAUUUAAUUGAAUUUGUUACAUACGCGAUAAAAUCACCAGAUUAUACAUUUUCAGUUCGUACAACCUCCACUGCAUAUACAACUUGUUUAAAAACGACUUCAACAUAUACAUUUUUUCUGACUGAUCCCACAUCAUACUACAAGUUAUGAUUUUUAUUACCUGAUUAGUAAUAUAACCGGAGAAACAAAAACAUAUUGUUGCACAGUUUUAUCCCGAAUGUCGUCUGAGUCGUCAUACUAAUCUUUCUCGGUAUUUUUACAACAAUGUUUUCUUCAUCCUUUAUUGUGCUACUAUAUCCUUGAAUCAUAUUUACUAUAGACUACAAUUUCUCUUUCCAUCAAAUUUAAAACAUCAAAAUUUUAAAAUAUUCCAAUAAUCAUUGCACAUAUUAAUUUCUAAACUUUAACUUUUAAUAUGACUAAUUUUUUUGCUAGAUAAAUCAACAUAAAACCAAUGGACCGGAUAGAAAAAUAAACAUUUUAUGAUUUCAUAUAUAUUCAUCUGUCCUCAGGUAAACUCCCACGAGUGUCAGCUACAUAUACAUACUUAAUGAAUCAAAAUAAUAAUAAUCAAUUACUAUUAUUAAAUUUAAAGUUUUACACUAUUUUUUGAACAAAAGUUAUAAUUUAAUAAUAUUUAUUCUAAUGUUCUGGAAAUAAAAAAAUUAAAAAGUAUCUCAAAAUAAAAAUAUCUCAAAUUAUUAUAAUAUGAUUUGAGAAGUUUUCUUUUACAAGUCUUGCUCGCUUUGAUUUUCCCAAACCUAAUUAUAUUAGUACUACUAAUGAAUUCAAAUAUAUUUGACAAUUAAAUUUUAUUAUCUAAAUAUUUAUAUUUUAAAAAUGUAAUCAGUUAUAGAAAUAUAUAUGUUCUAAAUUAACUUAACACCAGAUACAUAAUUCAAAAAAUAUGUGAUCAAAAAUUAAAAUUAUGGUUGGCACUUGAUGUGAACCAUAUAUUACUAAAUUGACAGAACAACAAUUUUAAUUUGGUGGUUAUUGCUAUAUAUCUGAAGCUCCAAUUGAUUGGUGAGUCUUUAAAAAGUUACAAGUUUGUCUAUGCAACUCCGGAGUGAUCAACACUUCAAUUUUUUCUCCCAUAAUUUUAUCCCAAAAGAAAGUAUUUCAACUUAUACAUAAUUUUAUCAAAUAUAGUUUUAUUUCUAAGAAUAUGAAACAAAAUAAACUCGAUUAAAAAUUUAACAUGAUUUAAGAUACCAAGUUAAGAAAGUUUAAUAUUAUGAAGUUAAGAUAGUAAGUUAAGAAAGUUUGUUGAUCCGGGUGCUCAGUAGAAAACAUUUUUUUCUACUUUUUGGAAUGAGAAAAAGAUUUAAUAUUUUCUAUACUUGUAUAAAUAGAUGUAGCGGGGAUGCACAAGAAAGUAAGCAAAAUAGAAGCAAACAGAUAAAAGAUGUUUUGUAAAGAGGCAUCGUCCAGUCUCCAGACCUUAAACAUAGCAAAGAGUCUCAGCUCUGAGUUCACUAAACCAUCAGCACUCAUCAACCCCCUCUCGGCAGGACAUCGUUACAAGCUGUGCCCUCGUCCAAACCUCAGAGGACGAUGUACGGUCACAGCCUCAAAGUUUGAUAUUGAUUGGAUACCGAAAGAAAGAGUUAAGAAAAUCAAAGUAAAGGGAAUUAUAACGGCCAAACAAGGCUUGUUACCUUCCGUUGGCGUCACCGAUUUGCUUGGAGUUUCACUGCUUGUCGAGCUUAUUAGCGCCGAGACUGACCCCCGUGAGUACAAUUAUCAGUCAAACAUAUUAUUAUUAUUUUAUAUAAGAAGUAAAAAGUAGGCUAAUGCAUCAGUAGUGAAUACUGGUAAUGAUACUUAACCAAGUCAUUAACACAUGUCAGGGACGCUUAUGGAGAAGGAUCCGGUGAAGGAUCACGCACGACGUUUAGUGAUUGAUGCACAUGGUGAGGAUCAGUACGAGUGUGUGUUUGACAUGCCCGAAGACUUUGGAGCGGUGGGUGCCAUCAGAGUUUUAAACGAGGCCCAUAGAGAGAUAUUCCUCAAGGAAAUGAAGCUUGAGCUACCUGACGGCCCCGUUACCUUUACAUGUGACUCGUGGGUGGCCUCCAAGUCAGAAGACCCAACCAAGCGGACGUUCUUCUCCAACAAGUCCUACUUGCCUCUCCAAACUCCCGAGCCUCUUAAACAGCUGCGAAAAGAGGAGCUGGAGACCUUGCAAGGCAAGAACCGUAAGCGUGAUGGUGAAUUCAAAAAGUUUGAGCGCGUUUACGAUUAUGACGUGUACAACGAUGUGGGUGAUCCUGAAAAAGAUCCAGAACUUGCCCGUCCCGUUAUGGGAGGCCUCUCUCACCCAUACCCAAGGCGGUGCAAAACUGGUCGCAAACCAAGUCGCAAAUACCCCUCCAUUGAGACACGCAAAGGGGAUUUCUAUGUCCCUAGAGACGAGGAGUGGUCCACAGUCAAGGGUACUGCAUUCACGGGCACGACAAUCUUGGCAGCUCUUCCUGCUGUGUUCCCACAGAUUGAAGCUGCUCUGGUGGAUCCCAAUAUGCCCUUCCCACACUUCAAGUCCAUAGAAGAUCUCUUUGAAGAAGGCAUCGAGCUUCCCAAGAAUGCUGGCAUUUUUUCUCUGAUCCCCAGACUUGUCAAAACUGUUGCUGAAGCUGAUGAUAUUCUCCAGUUUGAUUCCCCUAUCCUCCUUGACAGUACCAAGCUCUUUUUUAAUCCUCCAUUUAUAUAUUUAUUAUAUCCAAUUCUAUACAGCUAGCUACAAUUAAUCUCACUUUACUGUAUCAUUUACUUUGAUUCAGCGGAUAGAUUUUCAUGGAUCCGAGACGACGAGUUUGCUCGGCAGACACUUGCUGGCCUUAAUCCCCUUUGCAUUGAGCUAGUUCAAGUAAGCUAUAUACGCUUUAUCUAAUAGCUAUAUUAUCUUAAAAGUAAUUUUUCUAUGUUUCGCGUUCAUGUUAAUUUUUAAUACGGUUAACUACAUUGAUAACCUUAAUGAAUAAACUUAGGGGUGUUCAAUCCGGAUAUCGGUUCGGUUUUUUUCGGUUUUCGGUAUUCGGUUAGUAAAAUAUAACUACCAUUCUAAAUCCAUAUUUACUUCGGUUCGGUUCGGUUUAUAUACCGUCGGUUUUCGGUUUAUUCCGUUUUAUACCAAAAAACAUAAUUAUUUUGUUUAAGAUCAUAUUAUAUGAAUUUUAGAGUCAUAUUGUCAACACAGUCAUUUAUUAAAAAUAUAUUACAUGUUCAAAUAAAUGAAGAAAAAAAUAAAAAUAUUUCUACCAUCAAAUAAAAUAAUCAAAUCUAUAACUAAAAUCAAAGCUUGAAAUUUUGAAAAUAAAAAUAUGAAACAAAACAAAAACAUGAAAAAAAAGUUUUUUCACUCUUCCAUAUUUAGUGUUCAUUAAAGUCAUGUUUUUUCAAUUGAAAAUUUUCCAUUAAUUAUUGUCCUUCAAAUUUAUAAUCUUCAUAUUAAUUUAGUGAAGACUAAAAUAAAGCAAAAAGAUCAAAAGAAGACUUAGAAAAUAAAAUGUCUGAAUUACGAUGUAUUAUUAUUUAGUUAUAUUUCAAGUGUUUUACAAAUUAAGGUUUCUUAUUACUAUAAAAUUAUGGUAAUAGUUAUUAACACAAAUUUAACUUAUGUAACAAAUAGAUUUUCAUGUAUUGUUAUAAAAUAUAUACAUAUUUACAUGUUUCUACUUUUAAUCGGUUUUAUUCGGUUUAUUCGGUUUAAUCGGUUAUAUACCAAACCAUAUCCAAAUCCUACGGUUUUUAUAAAAUUAUAUCCAUUCGGUUGAUAUGGUAUAUACCAAAACCAAACCAUAUUGUCUAUUUCGGUUCGGUUCGGUUCGGUACGGUUCGGUUUUACCAUAUUGAACAGCCCUAAAUAAACUUGUAUUGUCAAAAUCAAAAUUUCUAUUUUAGUUUUUAUUAAGAUUUUUUUAAAUAACAAAAAUGGAAAAUAUCUAUAUAUCUUUGUAAAUAUAUUUGGAAAGUCUUUUAUGAACAAUUCUUACAUUGUUUUUUCAAAAGUCAGUAGUAAAUGUAUACUACAUUAAUAAGAAUUGGUUUAACAAUUAAUUAAUUUUGAAAAUAUUGUCAUUUAAAAAAAAAAAAAUAUAUAUAUAUAUACACAUAUGUAUAUACUCAGUGAUACAUAGAAAACAUAUUAUUAUUUUGUAUAUUAUCUAGUAGUUAUUUAGAACAUAUUAACGGAUAUUGAAAACAUUAACUAUUUUUCAAAUAAAAGUUACUACUAAAUUUAAAUUCGAAGUUGUUUCUUUCUUCUUCUUAUAAUGUUAGUUUUGGACUAUAGAAAUUAUAUAAAAAUUUAUAAAAUACUUACUAAUGUAAGAUGAAUAACCAAAAUAAAUGAAGAUAACAAAAUGAUUCACAAUAUUUUACCAUAAUUAGAGCCAAGAAAAACAGUUACUUCAAUUUAGUUAAAUUGUUCCAAUUAGUUUUUUUUUAAAAGUAAAUAAUCAAAUUGGUCUGAAUUCUUAUACCUAGAAUUAUACGUCAAACUGAGUUAUCGAUAUAAUUAAAAAUUAAAUAUAUUUUUCAAGACAUAAUUUAUAAACCUUCUUAAAUUUUAUAAACCAGUGAAAGCGAAACAUUAAUCAGUUAUUAUAAUUUAGUUAUUUGUAUGACUUUUUAGAGAUCACUGAUUAUAUUGGUUAGUGCAUGAAAGUGGUAAACAUAAAAUUUGCCCUUCUAACUAAAGUAACACUUACUUUUAUUUCUACUUCCUCAUAAAACAAUUUUUUUGUCUGACUUUUUUUGUUGACACCUCCUAAAACAACCUAUACAUUAAAUAAUAGAGUUUUUUCUAAAAAUAUAUUAACAAAUUAAUAUGAUGAAUCAAAACUAAGUAUAAUAACAAUAAUCUGAUUUUAAUAUAUUUAAAACCACAAUAAAUUAUGAUUUAUUUGGUAAUUAUAAAUAAUCUAAUAUACCGAAAAAUAAUAAUUGAACCUAUCUAAAUUGUUAUAUAUAAAAUAUCAUACUAAAUUGAGAUAACAACAUAAUUUUAUUUAAAACAUAACAUGAUAUUUAAUUUUCAUACAUUACUUUUCAUACAUAUUGAUUAUAAUAGAAUUUAAAAUUGAUCAACAAGUGAAAGCAAAAAGUUAUAAAUUAUAAUUGAUUAUUUUGUAAAUUUUUAUACUCGUGCAUGAGCACGUAAGAGUCACCUAGUAUGUACAUGGUUUGAUGGAAUUUCGUUUUUUAAAGAAAAAUCAUGUUUGGUUUUAAAACUAAAAACAGAAAAAGUAAGCUAAUUGAGAUCACAUUGUUGUUGUAGGAGUGGCCGUUGAAAAGCAAACUAGACCCUGCGGUUUAUGGUGAUCCCAACUCACUCAUUACUAGUGAGAUUGUGGAAAGAGAAAUCAAAGGAGUUAUGUCAUUUGAUGAGGUAACAUUAACUAAUAUCCACAUGUUUUAAAGAAAAAAGCAUAUAUAUAUAUAUAUAUAUCCAUCCAUCCAUAUGAAGUAUUUCCAUAAUGAAUACGUAUCAAUGGAUGUGUGCAUGCAAGGCUCUGGAGAACAAGAGAUUGUUCAUGUUGGACUAUCAUGAUUUGCUUCUACCGUAUGUGAACAAAGUGAGAGAGUUGGAUGAUAGCACCUUAUAUGCUUCUCGAACACUAUUCUUCCUCAACGAUGAUAGCACAUUGAGACCUGUUGCCAUUGAGUUGACUCGUCCCCAAGAUGUAAACAGUCCCCAAUGGAGGCAGCUAUUCACGCCAGGAUAUGAUGCUACCUCCUGCUGGCUAUGGAGUCUUGCUAAGACUCACGCUAUUACUCAUGACGCUGGUUAUCACCAGCUUAUUUCCCACUGGUAUUGAACAAACUUGAUCCUCUCGUAUAUAUAUGGUUAUACACAUUAGACUUAUGUGUUAUUGCUGCUAAGAGAUGGAAAAAAUUUCAGGCUGAGGACUCACUGCUGUAUGGAGCCAUACAUUAUAGCGGCAAAUAGACAACUAAGUGCCAUGCAUCCUAUCUAUAGGCUUUUGCAUCCCCACUUCCGCUACACCAUGGAGAUCAAUGCUCGUGGACGCCAAAGUCUCGUCAACGCAGGUGGAAUCAUUGAGUCUUGUUUCUGGCCCGGAAAGUAUUCAUUAGAGCUAAGUUCAGAUGUCUAUGACAAACAAUGGAGGUUCGACAGGGAAGGCUUACCUGCAGACCUAAUCAGCAGGUACGUAAUUCCUAAGACUAUACUUAUUUCUUUGUAAGUCUUAAUUUAAGUGUUCUAAAACUUGGCUCCAAGGCGUCCGCCCAUUCGAAUCUAAAUAAAAUGAUUUUUAUAUACCUAUUUUUUUAAUAAAUCGGUUUAGGCAUUCAAAAAAUCGGUCUAGAUACCUGCCUAAGCAAUAAUCUCAUACAAAACGCAUAAUACGCGCAUAACGAGUUCUUGAACAUCGAUUUAUACUAAUUAUGCUAACAACUUUUUACAUUUAAAAUUUUGUGAUAUCAAAGGGGUCUGGCUGUGGAAGAUGAGACGGCUGAAUAUGGGGUACGCUUGACGAUACCAGAUUACCCAUUUGCGAAUGACGGUCUAAUGCUGUGGGAUGCACUUAAGGAAUGGAUAACAGACUAUGUGAAUCACUAUUAUCCAGAUGCAGAACAGGUCAUGUUGGAUGAGGAACUCCAAGGAUGGUGGAGUGAAGUAAGAAACAUAGGGCAUGGAGACAAGAAAAAUGAACCAUGGUGGCCUGUCCUCAAAACACAAGAUGACUUGAUUGAAGUGGUGACUACGAUUGCAUGGGUGGCUUCAGGUCACCAUGCAGCUGUCAACUUUGGACAGUACGGAUAUGGUGGAUACUUUCCCAACCGACCAACCACAUCAAGGAUAAAAAUGCCAGUGGAAGAACCGACAGAGGAAGAGCUAAAAGAGUUCUAUAAGGAUCCAGAGAAGACUAUGCUUAAGACAUUCCCGUCGAAGAAGCAGGCGACGAAAUUGAUGUUGACUUUGGAUCUUCUAUCGACACAUUCACCAGAUGAAGAAUACCUAGGAGAAAACGCAGAAGCGUCUUGGGUCCACGAACCUGUCAUCUAUGCUGCAUAUGAACGUUUCAAAGGCAAGCUCCAAUACCUAGAAGGAGUGAUAGAUGAGAGGAACGUGGAUGUUGCUCUAAAGAAUCGAGCUGGAGCAGGUGUUGUUAAGUACGAGCUUUUGAAGCCUAUCUCUGAACCAGGCCUUACCGGGAUGGGUGUUCCCAACAGUGUGUCUAUUUAAUCUAAUGCAUUUUGAUCAAAUGCACUGGAAGUUUUCAUCUAUGUUUCUCCCAAGUUAUCAUCUAAGUUUCUUGCUUUUGUAAUAAAUAAUGAAUCUCAACCUGCUCAAGGGGUACUUUGUGCUGGGCAGCGGUGAAGGAGUUUGAUGUUGUCAUUUCUUUUGGGAAUAAGACUUAAUGUGUGGUUAUCUUAUGUUUAUUGGACCAAAUAUUGUUGGACGUAGGAAAACGCAUCGAGUUGGCCUGACCUAUUGAAGAUUGUAUUCAAGUAUAGUAAGUUAAGGUCUAUUAAAACAAUUUUACCUGGAAAAGUUUAUGAAAUUGAUGAAAAUUCAUAACCAGAUCCGAGUAAACUUUUAAAUAAACAAAAAAAAUACUGAAAUUGAAUUACUGUAAAUCCGGGUAGGCUAUGAUAAUUUAUAUUAUUAAAACAGAAACAUUGUGUUGGACCUACCAUUUAUUUUGUAAGUUUUUUAAUUAAAUACAUCUUUUUACUUUAUAGUUAACCAUACAUUAAAUCACUAAUAUUUCUAACAGCGCAAUCACAAAUGAAAGUGUAUUUCACUUCAAUCAAACUAGAAUAAUAUCUUAACCAAGAGGGUGACAUUAUUAUUGGCUACAAUAACUCUGAGCCAAUCCCAUAUCAACACUAAAAUCAUUCGUUCACUCCCUCAUCAUUUUUUUGAUCUAAGAGACUAAGAGCUUCAUACAACAACUCAGAUCAAUUAUAUAAAUGCUUGUACCAGUAGCUCUGCUGAUGAAAAUCUCCAGAAGAUGCGGAGUCUUCUGAUAGGGACAAAACUACUUGGACCAAAAGAGAAGAAGCUACGAUAUAUAGCAUACAUGGAAAUCACUAUUGAAGAAGAAAGAAGAAGAACAUAGGGUUCAGCAAGAAGAUGAGCAAAAGAGAUACAAAGGUUGAGUGAAAAGGGCUUUGAGGAAGAAUUUUAUUUUAAUUUUGGUGUUUUUAUUUUAUUUUAGUGAAGGUUAAAUUCGAUUAAUCAAGGGAUAAUAGCCUAUUAACAAAGUCCUAAUGAAAUAAACUAAAGUUUAGUGUGUUUCAUUUUGUUAAUUCUCUCAAGAAAAUAUAAUUGACCAAGAAAUUAACUAUACUUAAGAAAUUCCAAUUUAAAUAAAAUUUAGAUUGAACUAAAAACAAAUUAAUCACUAAAAUAGCUCUCCGAUGAAACUUUGCUACUAGUUACAUAAAUCUGAUUUUCAAAAAGAUCAGAUGGCAUCAACCCUCCCUAAUCCUUGAUUUGGUCUUUUGGGCAUUAACCCACAACAUACAAAAAUACGAUGUUGGAUGAGGCAUGUUCAUGGCGUCGACCCUUAUCUUUCAAUAUACUUUUAACGGGUGGGAAACAAAUCGAAUCCGAAAACCCGAACCGAAACCAACAUGACAAAAAUGAAUUCGACCGAACUGAAUCCGACAUAAAUACUGAAUGGACUUAUGUUACGAUAUUUUGGGUCAUGGUUUUACCCAAACCGAAUCCGAACCCAAAUGGAUAUCUGAACAAACUAAAAAUUUAGAAUUCCAGAAAAAAAUUUAUACUAAACCUGAACUUAAUCCCAAAUAAAUACCCAAAAUACUCUAAAAUUUCAUUGAGUACCUAAAAUAAGUGUCUAUUAUACAAAAAUUAACUCAAAUUAUUAGUUUAAUAUAUUUUGGUAUUUGGUGCUCUUCCUUCUUCUAUAUAGUCAACUUUAUAGGGUUUGAUGUGUUCCUGCUUCUCGUUUAUCAGAUAUGAUGUAUUUGCACAUAGUUUUUGAGUUUUGUUUUCUAAUUUUACUUGUCAAAUAUUACAUUGGAACCAAAAAUAAUUGUGACAAGAGCAUUUCACAUUUCUCAUUUCAAAUUUUCAAUAUUUGUUUCACUAGAUCAUUAUUUAUUUUUCAGGUUUAACUAAGUAUAAACAAAAUUUGGAACUGAAAACCCGAUUAAAUUCUGAAACCCUUAGUAUCUGUAAUAGCCUUAGUCAUUGUGUCUUGCGCCAAGAAAUGAAGAUGCUGGAAAAUUUUAAAAUUUCUUGUCAUCUAGAUUGCUGAGAUUAUCCAAGGCGCCAAGGGACAGUCAUAAAGUUUGGUAGGUGGGAGUGUAGUAGCCUUCAAAGCCAACUUCUAACCAUAAUUAAAUGAGUUCAGAGGCAAAUGAUCCAAUCCGCCUAAAGGUGGUAAGGUACCAACUCCCAUACUUUUUGUGUAAAAGACACUGGAAAAUGAAUGCUGGAUAGAUUUUAUAAAUUAUAUAUACAAAGAAAAUUUUAUAUAUUUUAAAUUAAUAACAUAUUUAUAUAUUAUAUUAAUAAAAUUAUUAAAUUAAAUAAUAAAUAUAAUUAAAUUAGGUAAUAUAUUAAAAAUUAUGCACAUAAAACAACAUAGAAUUACGUUUUCAAAUAAACUUAAUUUUAAAAGUUACUAUUAUAAAAAUAUUUAAAUAAGUUUUAGUUUAAAAAAAAAAUUGGAUGAAAUUUCAAAUUUAUUAAUCACUCAAAAAGACAUGCAUUACAAAAGAAUAAAAUCUAUGCAAACUCGGUUCCUAUAUGAAACGUUUAACCUAUGUGGCAAAGAAAAGAAUAAAAAAGUAGCCAAAAUCAAAUUGAAAGCUGAAAAAAAAAAUUGAAAGUUGAAACCAUCUCUGUAGUAGCCCUACAUACUAAUGUCAUGGGUCAUGGGCUCGUACUUUGGUGACAUUAUUCUAUUUCUUAAUGCCUUAUCAACUAUCUUAGUGAGUUUUUUUUUCUUAGAACAACUAUCUUAGUGAGUUGUACAGUUGUUGUCCAUUUUGUUUUUAACCAGGGGCACCAUGUUAUAAACACUCAAAUUUUUUUUUUUGAUGGAAGCACUUUUACAUUUUUCUUCAAUAAACUAAUGAUAUUUGAUAAAUUAAAUUAAACUAUCAAAGAAAAACCAAAAUAUAGGGGGCACAUGACCCAUACCGACUUAUUUUCGUCUGCCCCCUGGUGGUGACGACGAGCAGUGGCGAAUCUAGGAAAAAAAUUUUGUGGAGGCAUAAAUUAUUUUUAUAUUUUCAAAAAUAUUAUUUAUAUAUAAAUCAUACACUAUUGAAAACAAAAAUUAUUAUAUAAAAUAUUGUAUAGGAAUAUGUAGACGUUAGUUUAAAAUGGUUUUCCUUUAUAAAAUAUGUGAUUACUCUUUAUAUCCUUAAAAGUAAAUAUACAUUCUAAGAAAUAGUUAUUCAAUAAUAAUUAACAAAAAUGAUGAAAGAAAACAAGAUAUAGUAAAAAGAAUAUAUAUCAUAGAUUCAUAUAUUAUUGUAUGUUGAAAUCCUCAAAGUAAUGAUAAUUAGAUUGUGCAUUUAUGGGAGAUGUAAAUUAGAAAAUAGUUUAAAAUUUAUGCUGGAAACUAAAUAACUUUAGAAAUAAAAGCAAAAACGUGAGUGAAAACGUAAACCAACGGGAGGAAAUACAUUUAGUUAGUGGGGGCAAUAACCACUAUAGUCAACAUUAUCUGUUUUGUUAUGGUUACUAGAUCCUUUCUCCGCGCUACGCGCGGAUAAUAUAUUUAAAUUUGUUACAUUUAUCAUUUUUGUUUGUAUGCAAAUUUUUCUAUAUUAAAUUAUAUAUAACUAAUUUUUAAAUUUGAUUUUUUUUUAUAUUUUUAGUUUGAAGUAAAUAUUUCUAUUAUAUGUAACAUAAUUAACUAAGAAAAUAUGAAAAAUCAAGUCCGAGAUUUUAGAGUUAUGUAAAAAAAAUAUAAUUAUGUAUAGAACACAAAUUAUCUUAGUUUAAAAGAUCGGAAUCUCAUCUCGAAUAAAUUUACGAAAAGAAAAAGUACUCCAAUAACCUACUUAAAAUAUAAAACUUCCUUUUAAAAAAAAGCGUACUUAAUAAUAUUUUUUUACGUGUAAUAGUUGAAAACUGACAAUUGAAUAUCGAUCUAGAAUAUUAUUUUAAUAUAUCUAAUGUAAAAUAUUAAUUGUAAUAAACAAAUUUUGAAUUUUGUAAUAUUACAUGAAUUAGAAGUCUUUAAAAUCUAAAAUCUAUUUUAUUAACAUACUAUAUAUUUUAUUCAUUUAUUAUUUUUACGUUACAAAAUAUUGCUUUAGUUUUAUUUGUAUAUUAUUUUUUUAAUAAUUUAGAUUCUUUUUAAGUAAUUUUAAAAUUAUCAAGAAUAUAAUAUAUUUAAAAUUAUUUAUUUAAAUAUAUCCAAAUAUGAUGUCUCAUUUUUAUGUGUGUUUGCGUUGAGCAUAUUUAAUUUGUAAUUUGUAUAUUUAAUAACACCUUAUUGCGUGUCGUUCUAUGGUUUUAAUAAAUAUGUUGUCAUCUCAUUUUUAUUACUACUAACAUGAUUUUUUAGUGAUCAGUGAUAAUGUAUUUUUAACGUUAUGUAUUAUAUUUUAUUGUAUAUUUUUUAACUCUUCGUGCUGGCACUUUUUUUAGAAUCAUUUUAAUUAUAUAAUAGGUUUCAAGAUGUAAAUAAAACUGUGUAUGUUGUAAAUUUAGAUUUUUUAGUGUAGCUGAGCACUAUAAAUUAUAGAAAUUAUAUUAUGAUUUUAUUUUACUAAAUCUUUUAAUCUGUGUAUUUUUUUGUUUUAUUUUGUAUUUUUACAAUUUUAUUGCAUUAUUCUUUAAAUACAGAGAAUUGAUAUUUCCAAUUUUUGUUUCAUAUACCUUAAAAGUCUUCGGUUGAUUUUUGCUUGUUUUCUUUCUCUAAUUAUAAUGUACAGUUCGACCGUUUCUUCUUUUUUUUGGAUCAAACUACUAAUAUCAUCAGAUAGAAAAGCUUAAACUCUAAGAAUUGAGUGAGUAUUUGUGCUAGAGAAAACUGAUUUAACCAAUAAUAUAGUGAGAUAUUAUAAUAUUAGAAGGUAUGGAAAGUCUUCUAUAUUGUCCUACGCUGGACAUAAUUAAGUUAUUGCCAAUUGAUUCUAUAUUUGUGAUAACUGGAAAUACAUCUUUAUGUCUUCCUUACAUCAUCCUUAAUUGAUUUAUGGUUCGACUAUUUCUAAUAUACUGAGAGUAACAUAAAAUUAGAUGUUGAUUAUCUCCUCCCAAUUAAGAAUGUACAGAAUGAGAGAAAUUCAAGAUGAGAUCAGUUUACAAUUUUGUCUUCAUAUCUAUAUAGAGUUAGUUUAUAGAUUACUCUAUAUGUUUCAAAAUGUAAUCAAUUUUAAUUAAAAUAUGUAAUAUUUAAAAGUUAUUACUUUAGAAAUCUGUUAUUUAAUAUAUAAAUUUAAUCAAUUACACAGUAAUUUACAUAAUUUAAUUGGCUACACAAUAUCUAAUAAAUAUAAAGUUACAUUGAAAUAUAAAAACAAUUUAUAUAGUGAAAAAAAAAUAUUUUUAAACCAUUAUGUUAUAAAACAAAGAGAAUAUUCAAAUUAUAUUGAACAUUAGAAUAGUAAAAAUCAGAAAAGCUGAAAUCUCAACGUCGAUCAUUUACGUUGGCUAUGUUAUUAACUUUGAAGAUAACGUGAAUGAUCAAGAACAAAAAUAUUAAUUUUAGCUUCAGUCUUUUUUUUAAUCAGAUUAAUUUUAGCUUCAGUCUUUUUUUUAAUCAUUUUACCAAAAAGAAAAAAUAACAGAAAGAUGACUAAUAAAAAAGAUACAAACAGAGUACUGCAAAAAGGUGUUGAUCACAAUAGCAAACAUUAUAGUCUCAAAAAUAGUCAACUUUAUAUUAAAUAUUAGUCAAAAAUAAUAAAAUAUAUAAUAUUAAUAAAUUUCAUUUUAAAUAUAAUUUAACUUUAAAAAAAAUUUAUCAUUGUACAUGGUGCAGAAAAACACCUAGUAUUAUUUGAAUUUCAAAAACUAUAUGAUGCACUAACUUUUUGUGACAAAUCAAAUUUAAGGAACUGGGCAAGAGAUUGAGAAGAGGGAUGUGGAGAGGUACAAAGAGUCUUCACUUGAUGAGUUAUAAUGGAGCAUUGAAGUGUCAUUGUUGUAGUCGUAGAAGUUAUACCGGUGAAGUUGGGUAGACGAACAGAUUUGGAGUCGCUGGAGAUGUCUGAGGCAAGUUGGCUAAAGAAAAGGAAGCUAUAAGUUAUACAAUGGGCUGGCUAUUUUGACGGAUUUGGAUGGUUCGAGACCCAUCAUCUAAACAUUCGCGAUGACGUGGCAGUUUGAUUGGUAGAGAAUAUUUUAUCCUAUGUGGCACUCCUAAUAAGCCUCAAAAUUAGUAGCUUUUAUAUAGUAGGAUAUAUUUAACAUUUUUAAAAUUAAGUGGGGGCAGCUGCCCCCUCCCUACGUCACCUAGAUUCGCCCAUGACGACGAGCUUGCUCCCUUCAUAUGUGAUACAUAGUAGUCAAAAUACCAUUUUGGCUAUAACUGAGUCUAAAUGGCUGAGGCACGAUCCUUCAAUACUAUUAAAUGGUUGAGGCGUAAUUGACGAUGUGCGCGAGUUUUUGAACACAGGAUUCACAUAAAAAUUUUGUUUCGUUUCAACUUUGUUUCACAUUAGUCUAAUUUACAAUGCUUAAAAUUUAGUUUAUCAAAUGAAGUUUUUAAAGUGAAAAUAACAAACUAGGUAUAUAUAUAUAUAUAUUUAACUUGAGAGAAAGUAAAUUUUUAAAACUAUAUUAUAUGUAUGAUUAUAUAUGGAUCGGAUUACUGUUGUUGCUUUCGUGAUUGUAUAUUUUUCAUCAAACAUGUAAGAUAUUAAGAUUAUAAGAGAAAAAAACAAAUUAGUAUUAAUUAAAACUUAAUUUAUCAAUAAAUAUUAAAAUCAAAAUAUAGAUAUUAAAUAUAACUUGAAAAAAUAUAUAACUAAAUUGAUUACAAAUUAUAUCAUUUGUAUGAUUAUAUGAUGGGUUAGAUUACUGUUGUCGGUUAAAAGAUUACAGAUUUUUUUCCAUCAAACAUGUAAUAAAAUUAAACAUUUUAUUAAAAAUUAAAUGAUUCUUUUCAAAAUAAAAAAAUAUACAGGUUCGUCUAAAAACUAGCAAUUUCCUAAAUUUGAAAAUGCCCAAAACACAAUAAAUAAGUCUACACUUGCAUGGGGUCUCAUAUUAUUGAUGUGAAAUAUUUGCAUGGGGCCUUACAUUAUGGACCCCCUAUUUUUAAACAAUAGCAUAUAUAUAUAUAUAUAGGUAUAAAGUAGUAUAAUCGAAAAAUUAGUUUAUAAAUAUAAUAAUACACUAUUAAGUAAGUUUCAUAUUAUUAUGAUUUAGAUAUAAAAAAAAUAGUUGUGAAGUUAAAGCAAAGAAAAUAUCAGUUUAUUUUUAAAAUAUUAUAAUAUCUCUUAAAAACAUAACCUAUUUUGUUUGUAUUGAUGUUUUUAUUUUACAAUAACUUAUCUUUUUCUGUAAUUAUUUAGUAUAUCAUUUUCUAUAUUAUAAACUAUAAUUCUUUAAAUAAGAGUUUCGUAAAAUUUAUUAAAAAAAAUUGAUUAAUAUGAAUAAUUUUAUUUUGAUAGGCCCUUAUAUCCACCGGACAGGCUCUUACUGUUAGUUAUCUAGUUCUUAUGUAAGUUAAUUAAAAGCACAUCCUUUUUUUUGACUAAAAUCCAUUUAUAUAGUUAGUAAUCACAUAAUCAAUUAAGUAACAUUUUAACUCGAGGACUCAGUAAGUAGAGAACUUUUUUCUACUUUUGGAAAUGAGAAAAGAUUUAAUAUUUUCUAAAUUUGUAUAAAUAGAUGUAGGGGGAUGCACAAGAGAGUAGCAAAAUAGAAGCAAACAGAUAAAGAUGUUUUGUAAAGAGGCGUCGUCCAGUCUCCAGACCUUAAACAUAGCAAAGAGUCUCAGCUCUGAGUUCACUAAACCAUCAGCACUCGUCAACCCCCUCUCGGCAGGACAUCGUUACAAACUGUUUCCUCGUCCAAAUCUCAGAGGACGAUGCACUGUCACAACCUCAAAGUUUGAUAUUGAUUGGAUAGCGAAAGAUAAUGUUAAGAAAAUCAAAGUGAAGGGAAUUAUAACGGCCAAACAAGGCUUGUUACCUUCCGUUGGUGUCACCGAUUUGCUCGGAGUUUCACUGCUCGUCGAGCUUAUUAGCGCCGAGACUGACCCCCGUGAGUACAAUUAUAAGGCAAACAUAUUAUUAUUAUUAUUAUUAUUAUUAUUAUUAUUAUAUAAGAAACUAUCACAUUUUGAGUAUAAAUUUAUAAGACCAUCAUUAACCCAGUUUUUUAACUGGGGUUCUUUGGCUAAGAGACGGUUCUUAAAUAAGAAAUAUAAAACCAUCUCUUAGCUGAAAAGUGUAAAAAACAAAAAAAAUGUCAAAUCAUAAGUUAAGAAUCCAUGUUAAGAGAUCGGAGUUAAUCAUGUCCUAAUGUGAAGUAAAAAAGUAGGCAAAUGCAUCAUUAGUGAAUACUGGUAAUGAAACUUAACCAAGUAAUUAACACAUGUCAGGGACGCUUAUGAAGAAGGAUCCGGUGAAGGAUAACGCACGACGUGUAUUGUUGGAUGCACAUGGUGAGGAUCAGUACGAAUGUGUGUUCGACAUGCCCGAAGACUUUGGACCGGUGGGUGCCAUCAGAGUUUUAAACCAGGAUCUUAAAGAGAUAUUCCUCAAGGAAAUGAAGCUCGAGCUACCCGACGGCUCCGUCACCUUUACAUUUAACUCGUGGGUGGCCCCUAAGUCCGAAGACCCAACCAAGCGGACGUUCUUCUCCAACAAGUCCUACUUGCCUCUCAAAACUCCGGAGCCUCUUAAACAGCUGCGAAAACAGGAGCUGGAGACCUUGCAAGGCAAGAACCGUGAGCGAGCUGGUGAAUUCGAAAAGUUCGAGCGGGUUUACGAUUAUGACGUGUACAACGAUUUGGGUAGUCCUGAUAAAGAUCCGGAACUUGCCCGUCCCAUUUUGGGAGGUCUCUCUCACCCAUACCCAAGGCGGUGCAAAACUGGUCGCAAACCAUGCGACAAAGACCCCUCCGCUGAGACUCGUAAAGCAUUGGAAUUCUAUGUCCCCAGAGACGAGGAGUUCACCACAGUCAAGGGCGCCCAAUUCACGGGCACAGCAGUCUUGGCGGCUCUUCCUGCUGUGUUCCCACAGAUUGAAGCUGCUCUGGUGGAUCCCAACAUGCCCUUCCCACACUUCAAGUCUAUAGAAGAUCUCUUUGAAGAAGGCAUCGAGCUUCCCAAGGAUGCUGGCCUUUUUCCUGUGAUCCCCAGACUUGUCAAAGCUGCUGCUGAAGCUGAUGAUAUUCUCCAGUUUGAAUCCCCUAGUCUCCUUGACAGUACCAAUUUUUAAUCCUCCAUUUAUAUUUAUAUAUAUAUAUAUCCAAUUCUAUACAGCUCGCUAGCUAGCUACAAUUAAUCUCACUUUACUGUAUGAUUCAUUUUGAUUCAGAGGAUAGAUUUUCAUGGAUCCGAGAUGACGAGUUUGCUCGCCAGACCCUUGCUGGCCUUAAUCCCUAUUGCAUUCAGCUAGUUCAAGUAAGCUAUAUACGCUUUAACUAAUAGUUUUUAUUCUUCUUUUGAUUGUUCCCACUAAAGCAAGAUCCAUCCCUAUUAUAUUAUUAAACAAGUUAGUAUUUUACUUGUCGCUUUCAAGUUGAUUCUAAAACGGUUAAAUACAUUGAUAAUCUUAUUAAAUUAAUCUUAUUGUAAUUGCUAUUAUCAAAAUUUCUAUUUUUGUUAUUUUAUCUUUCUAAAGCUAUUUGAAAUUAUUUUAUGAAAAUUCUGAUCUUAAUUUUCUCAAAACUCAGUAAUAAAUUUAUACUGGAUUAAGAAGAAUUAGUUUUAAAAUUAGUUAAUUUUCAAAAUAUUGUUGAUUUUUUUAAAAAUGUUAUAUAUAUAUAUAUGUAUAUAGUGAUACAUAAACAAACAUAUUAUUAUUUUGUAUAUUAUCUCUUAAGUAAUUAUGAGAUUUUAUGUAGUAUAUCUACAGAUUGAAAACAUUUACUAUUUUUCAAAUAAAAGUUACUAAUAAUUUAAAUUAGGAGUUUUUUUAUUCUUCUUAUAAUGUUUAGGUUUAGGACUUAAUCCCUAUUUCAUUCAGCUAGUUCAUGUAAGCUAUAUACAGUAGAACCUCUAUAAAUUAAUAGUAAAUAAAUUAACAAUCUCUAUAAAUUAAUAAAUUUUACCGGUCCCAUCUUGGACCGGUUCAAAAUUUGACAUAAAUCGAUAACAUAAUAAGAUAAUAAUUUUUUAGAAAAUUCUAUGUAAAUAUAUGGUCCCAUUAAAAUUAUAAAUUAAUAAUUUAUAUGUAUACAUAUUUUAUAUAAGUAAGAAUCUAUUAUUAUAUUAUUUAAAUUCAGAGUUUUUUUUAAUGAGAUUUAGUAAUAUUAUAUCUAAAAACACAUUUAAGUUUUAUGCAAUAUAUAUUAUAUACACCAAAUAAUAUAAUAAAAGUUAUAUAAAUGUAAAAUUUAAAAAAUAAAAAUUAAUUUCUAUAAACUAAAAUCAAAUAUUUUUUUAUCUUAGAAUAAAUAUAUCUUAAAAUGAUAUAUCAAAAGAAGAUUUUUUUUGUAAAUUAAUAUCUCUUUAAAUUAAUAAAAUUUCAAAGUCCCAACAUUAUUAAUUUAUAGAGGAGAAAUUGAACAAGAGACCUUCAUCACACUUAAACUUCACUAAACCACUACACUAUAACAAACAUUUUGUAAUUUUAAGCCUCAAAAAAGUCUAUAUUUAUUUGAGGGCAUAAAACAAAAGUCUUUUUUAUUAUAUGAUGUGCACGGCCCUGAUUGUUCCCAGUAAAGAAAGAUCCAUACGUUACAUGGUUUAUGAUUUUUUUUUUUUUUUUUACAAAGCCAGCUAGUUAAAGAUCAGAUCACGUUAAUUGUUGUUAUAGGAGUGGCCGUUGAAAAGUAAACUGGACCCUGCGGUUUAUGGUGAUCCUAACUCACUUAUUACUAGUGAGAUUGUGGAAAGAGAAAUCAAAGGAUUCAUGUCAUUUGAUGAGGUAAAAAAUUAAUAAAUAUCCAUCAGGUUUUAAGAAGAAAAAAUACAUAUAUCCAUCCAUCCAUAUGGAGUAUUUCCAUAAUGAAUAAAUAUCAAUGGAUGUGUGCAUGCAAGGCUCUGGAGAACAAGAGAUUGUUCAUGUUGGACUAUCAUGAUUUGCUUCUACCGUAUGUGAACAAAGUGAGAGCGUUGGAUGAUAGCACCUUAUAUGCUUCUCGAGCACUAUUCUUCCUCAGCGAUGAUAGCACAUUGAGACCUGUUGCCAUUGAGUUGACUCGUCCCCAAGAUGUAAACAGACCCCAGUGGAGGCAGGUAUUCACGCCAGGCUAUGAUGCUACCUCCUGCUGGCUAUGGAGUCUUGCUAAGACUCACGUUAUUUCUCAUGACGCUGGUUAUCACCAGCUUAUUUCCCACUGGUAUUGAACAAACUAGAUGUAUAUAUAUGCUUAUUUUGUUGAUACUAUUAUUUAGUUUUAACUGUAUAGACAUUAAUACACGUAUAUUUUACAGGCUGAGGACUCACUGCUGUAUAGAGCCAUACAUUAUAGCGGCAAACAGACAACUAAGUGCGAUGCAUCCUAUCUAUAGGCUUCUGCAUCCCCACUUCCGCUACACCAUGGAGAUCAAUGCUCGUGCACGCCAAGUUCUCAUCAACGAAGGUGGAAUCAUUGAGUCUUGUUUCUGGCCCGGCAAGUAUUCAUUAGAGCUAAGUUCAGAUGUCUAUGAUAAACUCUGGAGGUUCGACAGGGAAGGCUUACCUGCAGACCUCAUCGGCAGGUACAUAAUUCCUAAGAUUAAUAUUUUAGAACUUGUUUUUGUAUACAAAAGAUUAAUGUUUUGCUUUUAAUUAAUAGUACAUUUUGGUUUAAAAUUAAAACGUAAAUUAAGAUUUGAAAAUUUGAAUAGUUAAACUUUAUUGGGAAACAAAUAAAACUAACAAAAACUAAUCAAUAUAUAUAUUUUUUAUUUUGAUUGAUAUGCAUGCAAAUUCUAAAACUUAAUCUUUUAAGUGAAGAGCAAGUACUUAUUUUAUUUGGUUUGAUCAAAAAGAUACUUAUUUCUUUGUAUAUAUUUUAUACUAGUUAUGCUAACAAUAUUUUUACAUAAAACAAAAAAAAAAUGUGAUAUCAAAGGGGGCUGGCUGUGGAAGAUGAGACAGCGGAACAUGGGGUACGCCUCACGAUACCAGAUUUCCCAUUUGCGAAUGACGGUCUAAUGCUGUGGGAUGCACUUAAGGAAUGGGUCACAGACUAUGUGAAUCACUAUUAUCCAGAUUCAGAACAGGUCACAUUGGAUGAGGAACUCCAAGGAUGGUGGAGUGAAGUGAGGAACAUAGGGCAUGGAGACAAGAAAAAUGAACCAUGGUGGCCUGUCCUCAAAACACAAGAUGACUUGAUUGAAGUGGUGACUACGAUUGCAUGGGUGGCUUCAGGCCACCAUGCAGCUGUAAACUUUGGACAGUACGGGUAUGGUGGAUACUUUCCCAACCGACCAACCACAUCAAGGAUAAAAAUGCCAGUGGAAGAGCCGACAGAUGAAGAGCUAAAAGAGUUCUAUGAGGAUCCAGAGAAGACCAUGCUUAAGACAUUCCCGUCGAAGAAGCAGGCGACCAUAGUGAUGGUGACUUUGGAUCUUCUAUCUGCACAUUCACCAGAUGAAGAGUACCUAGGGGAAAACCCAGAAGCAUCUUGGGCCCACGAACCUGUCAUCUAUGCUGCAUAUGAACGUUUCAAAGGCAAGCUCCAAUACCUAGAAGGAGUGAUAGAUGAGAGGAACGUGAAUGUUUCUCUAAAGAAUCGAACUGGAGCAGGUGUUGUUAAGUACGAGCUUUUGAAGCCUAUCUCUGAACCAGGCGUUACCGGGAUGGGUGUUCCCUACAGUGUGUCUAUCUGAUCUAAAGCAUUUUGAUCUAAUGCAUUGGAUGUUAUCAUCUACGUUUCUCCCAAGUUAUCAUCUAUGUUUUUUUUGCUUUUGUAAUAAAUAAUGAAUCUCAACCUGCUCAAAAGUACCUUAUUUGUGCUGGGAAGCGGUAAAGGAUUUUGAUGUUGUUAUUUCUUUUGGGAAUAAGACUUAAUGUGUGGUUAUUUUAUGUGUAUUGGACCAAAUAUUGUUGGACGUUGGUAAACGACCGAUUGAGUUGGCCUAACCUAAUGAAGAUUAAUUGUAUUCAAGUAUAGAAAGUUAAAGGCCUAUGAAAACAAUAUUACCUGGAAAACUUUAGGAAAUCGUUGAAAAUUCUAAACCAUAAUAUUAUGUUUUGUGUUUAGGUUAAAUGGUUAAAUGUUUUAUAUCAUAAUAUUAUUAGUAUAUUUAGUUAAUAUAAUUGAGGAACACUUCGGUAUUUUGGUUUGGUUUGGUUUAAAACCAAACUAAACCAUUUUUAUUCAUAAAAUCUUUAACCAAAUAGUUUAGACAUAUACUUUUGGUUUGGUUCGUCUCGGUUUGUGUUCUUAUUUGCCACCCCUAAUUUGUUGAUUAUAUGAUGGUUUGGGUACUGUUGUUGUUUACAAGAUUACAGAUUUUUUCCUUCAAACAUGCAACAAAAUUAAAUAUUUUUUAUUAAACAAAUAUAAAUACUUUUAUUUAAAAACCAAAAUUAAACCGGUUCAUUUAAAAACUACUCCCUCUGUUUCCUACUAUAAGUAAUUUAAGAAAACAUUGUUUGUUUCAAAAUAUAAGUACUUUCAUUAUUCUAUAUAAUUUUUUUACUUUUAUUGUGUAUAGUAUGACCAAUCAAAUAAUAUACUUAUUUAUGACUGGUUUAACUAUACCUAAUUUAUAUAUCAAAUGAUAUUUUAAAAAUAAAUAAUAUAUUUCUUAAUCUUUGUGCAUUGAUCAACUAAAACUUUCUACAUAUAAAAACAAAGGGAGUAGCAUUUUUCCUAAAUUUGAAAAUGCCCAAAACACAAUAAAUAAGUCUACACUAUAGUCGCAUAUGAACCUAUAAGCUUUAUUUUCUGUCUUCUUUAGAUAUGGCAUAAACUUCUGGCCACUACCGGCAACUGCGUCCUCAUAAAUGAGACUGAGAAGUUCGGUAAUUUUUAGUUAUAAGUUCGGUAACAACAACAAAAACGUGCAGGGAAGCACUUCUUUUGAAAACAACAAUAUAAUAACAAACACUAUAAUUCUAGGGUGAAUUUGUGGAAUAACUAUAUUGAAAAAAAUAUUCACUAAGUAACCAUAUAAAAAGAGAAGUUCGGAUGUGAUAGCUUCACACAGAAAUGGACCAAAUUUUCCUUCUCCGCUCAUGGUUGUGCAUCAAGAGCGAUUUGUAAAAUUAGACUAUACUAUAUUUAUUACGCAAAUAAUAUAGAAGAACUGAUUUUUGAUUGUUGUUACACGAAGUUAAAAAAAAUAAGAAACGGUGGACGAGAUGAGGAAACGAUGGAUGGCGACAGUGGUGGAGAAAAACACGGUAGCGAUGUUGAAACAAACGGUAGUAGUGAUGGUACUGAUGUUACAGUUGAAUACCAUGAAAAACACAAUACAUAUUGUGCUACAAGUCUAUUAUGUAGCUCUAAAAUAUAAUAGAAUAUAAAAACAGUACAUUGUUCAUUUUCUCCAAUUAUGUUUACUAAUGGCGGCAGAGAUUGUAUCACACGAAAAUGAUGCAGAAGAAGAUAAUAGUUAUGAUGGAAUAAUCAGUAGUGGUGAAUAUUACAACCGGAGGUGAUUGAGGAGGAAAAGAGGCAGAAUGAAGAUUGAAGAGGAUAAUUAAAAAGCAGGAGGAGUGAAGGAACAGAAGGAAUAGGAGGAUGAAAAUAAAGCAAUGUCCAUUCUAUAUUUUUACUAUCUUGAUGUAUGAAUUGUGAUGCUUAAGGAUAGAUUGACAUUCCUUUUUACAUAUAAUGUGUGCUUAGUGCUAGAUUAGACUUAGUUACUUUUAACCUAUGUUUAAGGUGAUUUCAUGUCUGAGAGGUGUUCUAUGAAAUGUUUGACUGAAUCUCAUAUUGUGUUUUGCAUGUUUAGCCAACAAAGUUGAUGUUUUGCAUACUAGAGAUGUAUUAUGACUACUAUGACUUGUUUCCAAUGCAUGGUUAAGUGUCGUUAGCCAAUAAGAGUUGAUAUUGAAUGCAUGAUUACCAUAGGAGUUAUUAUCACAAGAGUAAAUUUGUUUAUACUUGUGAUCCUAGGAUGAAGAAGCAUGAUAAUUGAUUAUGAUUAGCAUCCAAAUUUUGAAAUCUAUCAUCCUUAAUUGGUUACCAAUUCCAUGAGUUAACCUUUUAAACUUUGAUUAACACUUGUUAUUUGCUGAGUUUCUUGAUUGGAAUUGAGAUCACUGCUUUCUUAAUCACUUCUAACCAUUAGUAUUUUAAACCAAACUUAAUUACUUAGCGUAAAAGACCACUUGCAUUAUUCUAUUUGCUUUAAAAAUCGUGGAUUGGGUUGACAUAUCUUGAUACGUAUAUGAUAGAUUUGUUCUUAUGAUUGAGUAGUAUAAAAGAAAUAUUAAACUUAUUGAACACCAUUGAGAAGGUAAGAAGACAUUAGGAUCAUGGCUUUCUCUUUGUCCUCACUUUCACAUCCACUUUUACAGAUCGCGGAUGAUUUAAUUGAAGUUUUAACAUAUGCGAUAAGAUCACCAGAUUAUACAUUGUCAGUUCGUACAACCUCCACUACAAAUACAACUUGUUCAAAAACGACUUCAACAUAUGUAUUUUUUCUUACUGAUCCCACAUUUCACUACAAGUUAUGAUUUUAAUCACCUGAUUAGUAAUAUAACCAGAGAAACACAAAUAUAUCGUUGAACAGUUUGUUCAUGUAUAUCGUCGUACUAAAUCUUUUCCGGUAUGUUUACGACAACACCUUCUUCAUCCUUAAUUGCUCCACUAGAUCCUUAACUACUUUUUAUUAUAGACCAGGAUAUCUCUUUCCAUCAAAUUUAAAACAUAAAAAAUCAAAUAUUCCGUUUUUAGUGCACAUACUUUCAUAAACUUUAACUUUUAGUAUGACUUAUUUUUGCUAGUUAAUUAAAUCAACAUAAAACCAAUCGACCAAAUGGAAAAAUUCCAAUUAAUCACUGCAUAUAUAUUCAUCUAUCUUAAUAAUAUUGUGUAAAAAGUAAAAAUUUUACGUAUCACUCUCACGUUAACUUUCACGAGUGUAGCUACAUGUAUAUAUAUACUUAAUGAAUUAAAAUAAUAAUAAUAAUCGAUUACUAUUAUUAAAUUUUAUUUUUAUUUAAUAACAUUUAUUCUAAUUAUGGAAAUAAAACCUAGAAAAUAUCUCAAAAUAAAAUAUCUCAAAAUUAUUAUAAUAGUAUUUUAGAUGUUUGCUUUUACAAGUCUCACUUGCUUUGAUUUUUAAAAAUCUAAAUAUAUUAGUAGUAUUAAUGAAUUCAAAUAUAUUUAGCAAUUAAGUUUAUUUUAUAAAUAUUAUAUUUUAAAACAUAAUAAAUUAUAGAUGAUAAACAUAUAAUUUGUUAUUUUUAUUUCAAAUAAUUGGAAUUUUAAUAGUUAAUAUUUGAUAAUAAAUUAUUAAAGUAUUUUUAAUUAACAACUCUAUUUUUUCUAAUCAAUAUUAUUUAUAAGAUGAUUUUAAUGUAUAUUAAAAUACUUGAACUAAGAAUAAUUUUACUAUGAAUGUAUUUUGAUCAAAUAAUUAGAAAAAGGGAAUUUAUUAAACUAAUAUACCUUAAUCAUAUGAUAUCAUAAAAAAAUUUGUGUUAAAUUGACUUAAUACCAAAUACAUAAUUUUAAAAAUAUGGGAUCAAAUAUUAAAGUUAUGGUUGGCACUUGAUGUGAACCAUGUAUAUUACUAAACUGAUAGAAUAAAACUGUUAAUUUGGUAGUUAUUGGUAUAUCUUUGACACUCUAAUUGAUUGAUGUCUUUUGAAAUUACUAGUUUGAUUAGUUUAUGCAACUCCGGAGUAAUCAACACUUCUAAUUUUUCUCCUAUAAUUUUAUCCCAAAACAAAAUAUUUUAAAUUAUAUUUAAUUUUUUCAAAUAUAUUAUUAUUCUAAGAGUAUGAAUCAAAAUAAAUUCAAUUAAAAAAUUAAUUUGAUUUAAAUAUAUUUAGUAACUAAAUAAAAUAUGGUACAAUUUAGAAAAACAAAUGAAAUUCAAUACCAAAAAUGAAUAACUGAAGCAAUAUGAAUUAUUUUACUUUAAAUGAUAUAUCUACUUAAAAGAAAAGAAUAUUGAUAUUUAACGCAAUCUUUUGUUAAGUUUCAUACAUAUAAAUAACAAAACGAUUUAAGACUUAUAAAAAAAAGAGAGUAAAAUAUUAAGCAAUUAUAUUGAUCUAAUUAUAUUGUAAAUAUUUAAAGACACUAAACAAAUGUGUCCACAGAGAUAAGGGGUUAUGUUUUGGGUUUUAUUUGAAUAUUUAGAGAGAAAGUUCAUUUAUGUGUUGUAUUUCACUUUUGAGAUUGUACGGAUAUUUCAUAGAUAUUCUAUAGCUACAAAAAUAUUAAAUAGUUAAAGCUGAGUCACAAAAAAAAUUGAUUUUUAAAAUGACUUAUAUUACAAUUUUAAUCAAAUUAAAUUAGAAAAAAUGAUAAAGAAAAUACAUAAAUUAUUUUAUCAUCAGAAAUAUAAUAAAUGUUAUUUAGUUCUUAUGUAAGUUACUCAAAAAGCACACCUAUUUAUAUAGGGUGUGAGUGACCAAAAAUAGAGUAAUUGGAAGGAAUAAAAAUUAGAGUAAAUUAGUAAGAAAAGAAAUGAGAGAGAAAAAUAAAGCUGGAGUAAAAAGUUUACUCCAUAAGAAACGGAAGAAAACUUUUAAGUGUUGCUCAAAAAGAAACUUUUUAAGUUGAAAAUUCACAAAAGACAUAAAUAAAAAGGUAACUCUACAUGAAACUAUAUUUUUUUUAUUGUGAUUGAUUCUGUAUCAGCGCAACUCAGUUGAAAAUUAAUUUUACUCUAAAAUUUUAUGCUAGAAAGGCUAUGCAGUCACUCAUAGUUAGUACUCACCCCAUCUAUAUCAACAAAGUAACAUGCAAACUCGUGGACUCGGUAAGUAGAGAACUUUUUUCUAAUUUUAGAAAUAAGAAAAAUAUUUAAUAUUUUAUAAACUUGUAUAAAUAGAUGUAGAGGGGAUGCACAAGAGAGUAAGCAACAUAAAAGAAAACAGAUAAAAAGAUGUUUUGUAGAGAGGCGUCGUCCAGUCUCCAGACCUUAAGCAUAGCAAACAGUCUCAGCUCUCAGUUCACUAAACCAUCAGCACUCAUCAACUCCCUCGCGGCAGGACAUCGUUACAAGCUGUGUCCUCGUCCAGACCUCAAAGGACGAUGUACGGUCACUGCCUCAAAGUUUGAUAUUAAUGGGAAAGGUAAAAUAGUGAAAGAAGAAGUUAAGAAAAUCAAAGUAAAGGGAACUAUAACGGUGUUGUCCCAAGAAAAAAAAAAGAAGGGAACUAUAAUGGCCCAAGAAGGCUUGUUACCUUCCGUCGGAGAAUCACUGCUCGUCGAGCUUAUUAGCGCCGAGACUGACCCCCGUGAGUACAAUUAUCAGGCAAACGUAUUAUUAUUAUUUUUAUAUAAGAAGCUAUCGCAUUUUGAGUAUAUAAAUUUAUAAUGUGACGUAAAAAAGUAGGCUAGUGCAUCAUUAGUGAUUAAUGGAAUGAUACUUAACCAAGUACUUAACACAUAUGUCAGGGACGCCAAUGGAGAAGGAUCCAGUGGAGGAUUACGCACAACGUGAUGGACAUGAUGAUCAGUACCUACAGUGUGUGUUCGACAUGCCCGAAGACUUUGGAGUGGUUGGUGCCAUCAGAGUUGUAAACCUUGAGAGUAAAGAGAUAUUCCUCAAGGAAAUGAAGCUUGAGGUACCCGACGGCCCCGUUACCUUUACAUUUAACUCGUGGGUGGCCCCCAAGUCCGAUGACCCAACCAAGCGGACAUUCUUCUCCAACAAGUCCUACUUGCCUCUCAAAACUCCUGAGCCUCUUAAACAGCUGCGAAAAGAGGAGCUGGAGACCUUGCAAGGCAAGAACCGUGAGGGAGAUCAUGAAUUUAAAAAGUUCGAGCGGGUUUACGAUUAUGACGUGUACAACGAUGUGGGUAAUCCUGACGAAGAUCCAGAACUUGCACGUCCCGUUCUUGGCGGCCUCUCUCACCCAUACCCAAGGCGGUGCAAGACUGGUCGCAAACCCUGCGUCAUAGACCCCUCCACGGAGACACGCCAAAAAGAUUUCUAUGUCCCCAGAGACGAGGAGUUCAGCAAAGUCAAGGGUGAUGCAUUUACGGGCACGGCAGCCUUGGCAGCUCUUCCUGCUGCGUUGCAACAGAUCGAAGCUUUUCUGUUGGAUCCAAACAUGCCCUUCCCACACUUCAAGUCCAUAGAAAAUCUCUUUGAAGAAGGCAUCGAGAUUCCCAAGGAUACUGGCCUUUUUUCUUUGAUCCCCAGAAUUUUCAAAGCUAUUGCUGCUAAAGCUGAGGAUAUUCUCCUCUUUGAAUCCCCUAUUCUCCUUGACAGUACCAAUCUCUUUUUUAAUCCUCCAUUAUAUAUUUAUAUCUAAUUCUGUAUAAAGCUAGCUACAAUUAAUCUCACUUAACUGCAUCAUUCACUUUGAUUCAGAGGAUAGAUUUUCAUGGAUUCGAGACAACGAGUUUGCUCGCCAGACACUUGCAGGCCUUAAUCCCUAUUGCAUUCAGCUAGUUCGAGUAAGCUAUAUACAGGGCCGGGCCUGAGCACAAGCUCAUCAAGCAUUGGCUUGAAGGCCGAUAGUGUCAAAAAUAAGUCAGGGGCCAAUUACACUAAAUGUUUGAUAGUUCAGAUGGCAAAAUUUUCUUGCCACCUAACGUAGGAUGCCGGGUUCGAAACCCAUAUACAGUAAUUUUGCAAUGAUUUUUUUAAAAAAGAAUUAUUGUAGGGCCAAAUAAAUUUUAGUUGCUUAUGGGCCUAUAUAUGUCAGGCCCGGCCCUGGCUAUAUACUAAGCUUUAACCAGUAGUUUUUUCUUUUGAUUGUUCCAAUAAAGCAAGAUACAUACGUACAUGGUGUUGGUGGAAAACUGAGCUAGUUAAGAUCACAUUGUUGUUGUAGGAGUGGCCCUUGAAAAGCAAACUAGACCCUGCGGUUUAUGGUGAUCCCAACUCACUCAUUACUAGUGAGAUUGUGGAAAGAGAAAUCAAAGGAGUUAUGUCAUUUGAUGAGGUAACAUUAACUAAUAUCCACAUGUUUUAAAGAAAAGGCAUACAUAUAUAUAUAUAUCCAUCCCAUCCAUAUAGAGUAUUUAUUUCCAUAAUGAAUAAAUAUCAAUGGAUGUGUGCAUGCAAGGCUCUGGAGAACAAGAGAUUGUUCAUGUUGGACUAUCAUGAUUUGCUUCUACCGUAUGUGAACAAAGUGAGAGAGUUGGAUGAUAGCACCUUAUAUGCUUCUCGAACACUAUUCUUCCUCAACGAUGAUAGCACAUUGAGACCUGUUGCCAUUGAGUUGACUCGUCCCCAAGAUAAAACCAGGCCCCAAUGGAGGCACGUAUUCACGCCAGGAUAUGAUGCUACCUCCUGCUGGCUAUGGACUCUUGCUAAGACUCACGCUAUUUCUCAUGACGCUGGUUAUCACCAGCUAAUUUCCCACUGGUAUUUAACAAACUAGAUCUUCACUUAUAUACUCUCUUCGUAUACAAAUGUAAUAUGUUUAAGGUUUCUCACACAUUUAAAAAAAAACAAUAAAUACAUUCUUUUAAUCAUUACUUUUUGAUUUUAUCAACAAAGUUUUACCACUCAUAAUUUUAGUUUUACGGAUAAAUACAUUAAUUAUAUCAUAAAACAUCACUUUUGUAUACAGGAUAAAAAGCUAGAAAUCAUAUAUUUGUAUAAGGAGAGAGGUUAUAUGGUUAUUUUGUUGACAACAGUAUUUAGUUUUAAAUUUUUAAUUGUAUAGGCAUGAAUACACGUAAUGUGUUAUCGCUGUGAAAAUUGUACAGGUUGAGGACUCACUGCAGUAUGGAGCCAUACAUUAUAGCGGCAAACAGACAACUAAGUGCGAUGCAUCCUAUCUAUAGGCUCUUACAUCCCCACUUCCGCUACACCAUGGAGAUCAAUGCUCGUGCACGCCAAAGUCUCGUCAACGCAGGUGGAAUCAUUGAGUCUUGUUUCUGGCCCGGCAAGUAUUCAUUAGAGCUAAGUUCAGAUGUCUAUGAUAAACUCUGGAGGUUCGACAGGGAAGGCUUACCUGCAGACCUCAUCAGCAGGUACGUAAUUCCCUAAGUUUAUAUCAAGGAUUUAGGGGUUGGGUCUCGGCCAGCAGGAAUAAAAACAAAAACAAAAAAAAGUAUUAAUCUAUACUAAUUAUGCCAACACCUUUUUACAUUAAAAAAUUGUGCUAUCAAAGGGGGCUGGCUGUGGAAGAUGAGACAGCGGAACAUGGGGUACGCCUGACAAUACCAGAUUACCCAUUUGCGAAUGACGGUCUAAUGCUGUGGGAUGCACUUAAGGAAUGGAUAACAGACUAUGUGAAGCACUAUUAUCCAGAUGCGGAACAGGUCAGGUCGGAUGAGGAACUCAAAGAAUGGUGGAAUGAAGUGAAGAACAUAGGGCAUGGAGACAAGAAAAAUGAACCAUGGUGGCCUGAUCUCAAAACCCAAGAUGACUUGAUUGGCG